AAGUCGUAACAAGGUUUCCGUAGGUGAACCUGCGGAAGGAUCAUUAUCGAAUUAUAAGCGAGGGUUGUCGCUGGCCUCUCGGGGCAUGUGCACGCCCGAGCCGUUAAUCCAAACCUUACACCUGUGAACUUACCGCGUAGGGCCCUCCUUUGCCGGAGGCGUCCUAUGUCCUUCAUAAACACCGCAUGUCAAUAGAAUGUAAUCAAAUAUCUUCGCCCUAAAAAAGCGUCGGUAAAACUUAUACAACUUUCAACAACGGAUCUCUUGGCUCUC
RNAcentral lists this unclassified non-coding RNA (273 nucleotides) under air metagenome. RNAcentral describes it as "partial contains small subunit ribosomal RNA, internal transcribed spacer 1, and 5.8S ribosomal RNA". The stretch from base 1 to 46 matches the Rfam family "Eukaryotic small subunit ribosomal RNA", at positions 1786 to 1831 of the family's 1831-position model. The record is from RNAcentral.